GUCCACCUUAGAAAGCCUUCGAGAACUUUUCUCCCCAGGACUUCAGGGAGCCCAUACUGUAAUAACAAGAUCCAGGCUUUAUGUUUUUAACAACACGGUGACAGGAAAAAGUCUUUCUGGCAUCUCAGCCUGACAUAGGGUGGCUUCCUGGCACCCAGAGCCUCUCGUGCUGAAGGCAAAGCAGGAGCCCAAAGCGAGAUCCAGCGACCCAAGAGAGACUUCAGGCAAAGAUACGCAGAUACGCAUUGGGAAGCUGGCCGUCAUGCACCGAAGUGGAAACAUGACAGGUUCAGGAAAUCUCCGACCUAGGAGUCACCGCUCAUCCAGGGAUCUGUGAAGAAGGUGAGCACUAACGCCCCCUGAUGGACCCCGUCCCAUUACCCAGAUGGUCUGCGGUGUAUCCCCUCUGGCCAUCCUUGUACUCACUGGCCCCCGUUUCUUGAUGACUGUUUCACUGCUGGCAGAUGAGCUCUAUUCAAGAUACAGAAUACCUGUAGGGGCCUGCUCCGGGUCACCAGCCCCUUUUAUCCUCAGGUGAAUUCCUCUUACUUAGCUAACAGCGCUGUCUAGCCAGUAAAAAGCUCUGUGAAAUCGAAUCCAACGCACUGUAAAGCUUAAGCCACCUCUUUCUGCUGGAUAUACAGCCUACCCUGUAUCUUACCCCAACAAUUGGAAAUCAUCUUCCCUGACCCACUCAUAAAGCAUCAGAAACCAGUUGCUUCUCACCACUAGUCGUCUAUUUUUGGAAAUAACUGCAAAGCGAGCAUAUGGUCAGUCACAGUUCUGACUCUUUAAAACAACGCCUGUUGA
Molecule: long non-coding RNA, 810 nt
Organism: Panthera uncia (snow leopard)
Lineage: Eukaryota; Metazoa; Chordata; Mammalia; Carnivora; Felidae
Exons: 3
Source: RefSeq, a predicted model, not a curated record